This 462-nucleotide ribosomal RNA is filed under the name uncultured bacterium. RNAcentral describes it as "partial 16S ribosomal RNA". It matches the Rfam family "Bacterial small subunit ribosomal RNA", at positions 28 to 507 of the family's 1533-position model. The record is from RNAcentral.
GACGAACGCUGGCGGCGUGCUUAACACAUGCAAGUCGAACGGAAAGGCCCUUCGGGGUACUCGAGUGGCGAACGGGAGAGUAAGAGGUGCGUGAUCUUCCCCGCACUUUGGGAUAAGCCUGGGAUACUGGGACUAAUACUAAUUCGGACCACGCGCUUCUGCUUCUGGGGGGGGAUGGUUUUGGGGGUGGGGAUGGGCCCGGGGCCUAUCAGCUUGUUGGUGGGGUUAUGGUCUACCAAGGCCAAGACGGGUAGCCGGCCUGAGCGGGUGACCGGCCACACUGGGACUGAGAUAAGGCCCAGACUCCUACGGGAGGCAGCAGUGGGGAAUAUUGCACAAUGGGCGGAAGCCUGAUGCAGCAACGCCGCGUGAGGGAUGACGGCCUUCGGGUUGUAAACCGCUUUCGAAUGGGACGAAGCGGGAGUGACGGUACCGAUAGAAGAAGCACCGGCCAACUACGUG